This 492-nucleotide ribosomal RNA is filed under the name uncultured bacterium. RNAcentral's name for it is "partial 16S ribosomal RNA". It matches the Rfam family "Bacterial small subunit ribosomal RNA", at positions 29 to 507 of the family's 1533-position model. The record is from RNAcentral.
AGUGAACGCUGGCGGUAGGCCUAACACAUGCAAGUCGAACGGCAGCACAGUAAGAGCUUGCUCUUACGGGUGGCGAGUGGCGGACGGGUGAGGAAUACAUCGGAAUCUACUUUUUCGUGGGGGAUAACGUAGGGAAACUUACGCUAACACCGCAUAUGACCUACGGGUGAAAGCAGUGGAUCUUCGGACCUUGCGCGAUUGAAUGAGCCGAUGUCGGAUUAGCUAGUUGGCGGGGUAAAGGCCCACCAAGGCGACGAUCCGUAGCUGGUCUGAGAGGAUGAUCGGCCACACUGGAACUGAGACACGGUCCAGACUCCUACGGGAGGCAGCAGUGGGGAAUAUUGGACAAUGGGCGCAAGCCUGAUCCAGCCAUACCGCGUGGGUGAAGAAGGCCUUCGGGUUGUAAAGCCCUUUUGUUGGGAAAGAAAAGCAGCAGGUUAAUACCCCGCUGUUCUGACGGUACCCAAAGAAUAAGCACCGGCUAACUUCGUG